Long non-coding RNA from Drosophila miranda, 860 nucleotides. RefSeq lists it as uncharacterized. The record is from RefSeq and is a predicted model, not a curated record. The transcript has 2 exons. Lineage: Eukaryota; Metazoa; Arthropoda; Insecta; Diptera; Drosophilidae.
UGAGUCCCCUCGUCCUCCCUGUUGAUCGAAGCAAGCGAAUUGCGGAUCUCGUAAGAGAUAUAAUGGCACCAGACCAUAUAGUUAAGGCUAUCACAUCAUUGCAACCCUACAAAUCUCCAGGGCCGGAUGACAUAAGGGCAAACUAGCUUAGCUGCAAGUAGCGUGUACGGAGUCAUCGUAUCUUCGAAAUGCACCCCCAGGCAGAGCUCAAAUCCUUUUCGACCCACAUAUCCCUGACUAGUGCAUGUAGUCCAGGCUAAGAUGUGUACCGUUAAAUCAACCUCGACUGUCAGAAGGCUACGCCGAUGAAAUAAUUGGCUCCGUCCAUAGAAACGAAGACUGAAGACACCGUUACUAGUUCAGAGUUAUCCAAACCUUGAUUGAGCAGACAAUCUAUACCAUCCUAACAAAAAAUUACAUGAACCAAAAAAAAAUGAAAUCAACAAUCAAAAGACUAAUUAAGUUUGAAGUCGCAAACCUCAUUAAAGCGACUUGUUUAACCUGCAAAAAGAAGAUGUAUUUUAGACCACUACAUCUGGCCUUAUUAAUCUGCUUGUAAGUAGCACUAGUAGAAGUGUUCUUUAUUGAAUUUGUUAUACAAAAACUUUUCUUUAACAUGUGUAUAAGGUUUGAUAAGUAAAUUAAAUAUUAAAUUAAAUGUCGUACUGCUCUGCUGGCUUGGCUUGAAUGCCAUUCGCCAUAUUGUUUGACUAAUGUCAAUUUUUACUACUGCGUACUUCUGUAUAUAUUCUUUUAUUUUAUGUUUGUUGUUACAUGAUGGGAUUAAUUUAACUCAUUGACUUAUUUGUUUAUUACUUAUAUAUUUACAUGCAUUUAAGAUCCGCAUGAUAAACAGGCAU